GACGAACGCUGGCGGUGUGCCUCACACAUGCAAGUCGAGCGGACGAAGAUUGAAGCUUGCUUCAGUCCUAGUUAGCGGCGGACGGGUGAGUAACACGUAGGAAUCUGCCUUCAGGCGGGGGACAACGGAACGAAAGUUGCGCUAAUACCCCAUAUGCGAGUAAUCGUAAAAGGAGCAAUCCACCGGAAGAUGAGCCUGCGCCCGAUUAGCUAGUUGGUAGGGUAAAAGCCUACCAAGGCUACGAUCGGUAGUUGGUCUGAGAGGAUGAUCAGCCACAAUGGAACUGAGACACGGUCCAUACUCCUACGGGAGGCAGCAGUGGGGAAUUUUACGCAAUGGGCGAAAGCCUGACGUAGCGACACCGCGUGAGCGAAGAAGCCUUUUGGGGUGUAAAGCUCUGUCAGCUGGAACGAACACAAUGACGGUACCAGCAGAGGAAGCAUCGGCUAACUACGUG
This 457-nucleotide ribosomal RNA is filed under the name uncultured bacterium. Its description in RNAcentral is "bacterial SSU rRNA". It matches the Rfam family "Bacterial small subunit ribosomal RNA", at positions 28 to 507 of the family's 1533-position model. The record is from RNAcentral.